UAUUACCCCUGUUGUCACAAAUUACACCAACAACUAGAAUGGCACGCCCAAAAAACAUACCAGGAUUCAAUUAGCCAACAAACCUGUAAUGCACAGAUAUGCUUAGAACAGACAUGAUGUUGCCAACCAUUCAAAUGACUGGAAGCACAUGGCAAAACAAACUCUUGUACGAGUUCAACAAAGAAUUCAAGAUACAAUAUAUUAAAGGUUCCAGAACCAAAACAUUAUCUAGGGCAAAACAUCAUCCAAGGUAAUCAUCUAAAUAAGAACACUCCCUUAAGAUUCUGGAAAUGGACCAACACAGUAGUAGCAAAGCUAUGAGGAAUCUUUGUGAAGCAGCUUAUCGCUUCUUGGAGACACCAACAGUCUUUCCUCUCCUGCCGGUAGUCUUGGUGUGCUGACCGCGGACACGCACACCCCAGUAGUGACGCAGACCACGAUGGUUCCUGGAAAAGAGCAGGGUUUCAAGCAUAAGUGGUCGCUCACAAUCUAUGAGCUAGGACAAUGCUACCGCACAGUGAAGUUUUAAGGAAUCAGCCAUCAGGCAAAAGCAUACAGAACAGCUGGGUCACAUACAAGGUACACUAGAAGGGUACACAUGAAUACUUUGACAGCCAUCAAUACCAGAUUGCAAGACAUAACAAUUAUGAAUCUAAGCAAGUAAGGGCAUAGGGCAGAAUAUAAAAUCUAGAUACAAGUAAUAGACUGAAUUGAACUGUUAUAACCUAGAGCUGGCAGAAGUUCCAGGUAAUAACCAUUCAUACAAGCUAACAUUCUGUAUUUCUGUAGAAAGAAGCAACAACUGGCUAUAUAAAAAAAGCUAGUCCAAAUUUGUAUGCGCACAGGCACGGGAAAGGCACGUCAGACACCAACUGUCCUCCUCAUAGUGCCAGCAACGCAAUCACAAACUAAAAUAAAUAAAUAAAAAAUAGCACAGAAGCACAUGUUCUCUCAGAAAAAUGCCUCAAUUGUCCACAUGGUUUAAUAGAAUGGAUUAUGUCAGACUCAUCAUCUGUUUUCAUCAUCACAGAGUUCUAAGAACUACAAAUUACAAAGGCAGGUGUUAAAAAAAGUGUUUUCAACAGAGCAACAGUCCUAACAUGUUCUCUCCGACAAAUGCCUCAUUUUGUCCCCAUGGUUUAAUGGAAUGGAUUGGAUCGGACAUCUAAUCAGCGAGAACAAAAGAACCAAAUGAUUGAUGUAAAUGGGGGUAUAGUAACAGG
This 1223-nucleotide long non-coding RNA is filed under the name Triticum aestivum (bread wheat). RNAcentral's name for it is "long non-coding RNA (TAES_LNC015306)". Lineage: Eukaryota; Viridiplantae; Streptophyta; Magnoliopsida; Poales; Poaceae. The record is from RNAcentral.